Molecule: ribosomal RNA, 728 nt
Filed under: uncultured Staphylococcus sp.
Lineage: Bacteria; Bacillati; Bacillota; Bacilli; Caryophanales; Staphylococcaceae
Description: bacterial SSU rRNA
Rfam family: Bacterial small subunit ribosomal RNA
Source: RNAcentral
CCUAAUACAUGCAAGUCGAGCGAACAGACGAGGAGCUUGCUCCUCUGACGUUAGCGGCGGACGGGUGAGUAACACGUGGGUAACCUACCUAUAAGACUGGGAUAACUCCGGGAAACCGGGGCUAAUACCGGAUAACACAUGAAACCGCAUGGUUUCAUGAUGAAAGACGGUUUUGCUGUCACUUAUAGAUGGACCCGCGGCGUAUUAGCUAGUUGGUAAGGUAACGGCUUACCAAGGCAACGAUACGUAGCCGACCUGAAAGGGUGAUCGGCCACACUGGAACUGAGACACGGUCCAGACUCCUACGGGAGGCAGCAGUAGGGAAUCUUCCGCAAUGGGCGAAAGCCUGACGGAGCAACGCCGCGUGAGUGAUGAAGGUCUUCGGAUCGUAAAACUCUGUUAUUAGGGAAGAACAAGGAUGUAAGUAACUAUGCAUCCGUUGACGGUACCUAAUCAGAAAGCCACGGCUAACUACGUGCCAGCAGUCGCGGUAAUACGUAGGUGGCAAGCGUUAUCCGGAAUUAUUGGGCGUAAAGCGCGCGUAGGCGGUUUUUUAAGUCUGAUGUGAAAGCCCACGGCUCAACCGUGGAGGGUCAUUGGAAACUGGAAAACUUGAGUGCAGAAGAGGAAAGUGGAAUUCCAUGUGUAGCGGUGAAAUGCGCAGAGAUAUGGAGGAACACCAGUGGCGAAGGCGACUUUCUGGUCUGCAACUGACGCUGAUGUGCGAA